GUUCUCAGUUCGGACCGUAGGCUGCAACUCGCCUACACGAAGUCGGAAUCGCUAGUAAUCGCGGAUCAGCAUGCCGCGGUGAAUACGUUCCCGGGCCUUGUACACACCGCCCGUCACACCAUGGGAGUUUGUAACGCCCAAAGUCGGUGGCCUAACCUUUAUGGAGGGAGCCGCCUAAGGCGGGACAGAUGACUGGGGUGAAGUCGUAACAAGGUAUC
This 218-nucleotide ribosomal RNA is filed under the name uncultured bacterium. Its description in RNAcentral is "partial 16S ribosomal RNA". It matches the Rfam family "Bacterial small subunit ribosomal RNA", at positions 1284 to 1500 of the family's 1533-position model. The record is from RNAcentral.